GGGGCUGAUUUUGGAAUAGACAGCAAGAUUAUUUAUGAGGGGAAGCAUACCGUGUUGCGUAAUGCCUUACACGUAAAUAAAGCGUUACAUACAUAAUAAAUGGCGAAAAACAAUACGCUUUUGCUGCUUGAAUGAUGAAUGAAACAUCAUUAAGCUUAAUCUGAUACACAUACAGAAGCAAAAUAUCUCUCAGGAAUUCUUCCUUAUAGUUCCUGAAGUCGAGGUAAUCAGAAUAUAAGGAUAAGAAAACGGAUGAUUCUAAAGUUUUCUGAUUCAAUAUUUUUGAAUCUAAGAUUUUGAUCGUAAUCCAAUAGUUCGAUUUUAAUCUGAAAAACUUUACUUUGGAUAAGUAUGUAGAAAUCCUUCGUAGAACUUGUUUGGACGCGGGUUCGAAUCCCGCCAGCUCCACCA
RNAcentral lists this transfer-messenger RNA (411 nucleotides) under Blattabacterium sp. (Mastotermes darwiniensis) str. MADAR. RNAcentral describes it as "transfer-messenger RNA Blatt_sp_Mda". It matches the Rfam family "transfer-messenger RNA". Rfam says of the family: Bacterial tmRNA, also known as 10Sa RNA or SsrA, is named for its dual tRNA and mRNA-like properties. Its role is to liberate the mRNA from a stalled ribosome. The record is from RNAcentral. Lineage: Bacteria; Pseudomonadati; Bacteroidota; Flavobacteriia; Flavobacteriales; Blattabacteriaceae.